This 494-nucleotide ribosomal RNA is filed under the name Taiozyma rabaulensis. RNAcentral describes it as "Wickerhamomyces rabaulensis partial large subunit ribosomal RNA". It matches the Rfam family "Eukaryotic large subunit ribosomal RNA", at positions 151 to 655 of the family's 3401-position model. The record is from RNAcentral. Lineage: Eukaryota; Fungi; Ascomycota; Saccharomycetes; Phaffomycetales; Wickerhamomycetaceae.
UGAAGAUGGUAACUUUGGAGUUGGCCCUUGUCUAUGUUCCUUGGAACAGGACGUCACAGAGGGUGAGAAUCCCGUCUGACGAGGUGAUCCAACUCUAUGUAAAGUGCUAUCGAAGAGUCGAGUUGUUUGGGAAUGCAGCUCUAAGUGGGUGGUAAAUUCCAUCUAAAGCUAAAUAUUGGCGAGAGACCGAUAGCGAACAAGUACAGUGAUGGAAAGAUGAAAAGAACUUUGAAAAGAGAGUGAAAAAGUACGUGAAAUUGUUGAAAGGGAAGGGUAUUAGAUCAGACUUGGCGUUUUAUGAUUAUCUUCCCUUCUUGGGUUGUGCACUCGUAUUGCGCUGGGCCAGCAUCGAUUCGGAUGGCAGGAUAAUGGCAAUUGAAUGUGGCAUCCACUUCGGUGUAUGUGUUAUAGCUUUUGUUGAUGCUGCCUAUCUGGAUCGAGGACUGCGUCUUUUGACUAGGAUGUUGGCGUAAUGAUCUAAUAUCGCCCGUCUU